Molecule: ribosomal RNA, 301 nt
Filed under: uncultured bacterium
Lineage: Bacteria
Description: partial 16S ribosomal RNA
Rfam family: Bacterial small subunit ribosomal RNA
Source: RNAcentral
CAGCAGCCACGGUAAUACGUAGGGUGCAAGCGUUAAUCGGAAUUACUGGGCGUAAAGCGUGCGCAGGCGGUUUGUUAAGACAGAUGUGAAAUCCCCGGGCUCAACCUGGGAACUGCAUUUGUGACUGGCAGGCUAGAGUAUGGCAGAGGGGGGUGGAAUUCCGCGUGUAGCAGUGAAAUGCGUAGAUAUGCGGAGGAACACCGAUGGCGAAGGCAGCCCCCUGGGCCAAUACUGACGCUCAUGCACGAAAGCGUGGGGAGCAAACAGGAUUAGAUACCCCUGUAGUCCCUGUCUCUUAUAC